RNAcentral lists this ribosomal RNA (963 nucleotides) under Triticum aestivum (bread wheat). RNAcentral describes it as "partial small subunit ribosomal RNA". Lineage: Eukaryota; Viridiplantae; Streptophyta; Magnoliopsida; Poales; Poaceae. The record is from RNAcentral.
AUGGCUCGUGCCAGCACUCGUCUCCCACCUUUUCUCUUGCUCCUCGCAGCAACUUGUGCCGCGGUAGCGAACGCGCAGCUGUCGGAGAACUACUACGGUUCUUCUUGCCCCGCGGCGCUUCUCACUAUCAGGACUACCGUGGCGACGGCGGUGCUGCUCGACCGCCGCAUGGGCGCCUCCCUUCUCCGGCUUUACUUCCACGACUGCUUUGUGCAAGGGUGCGACGCGUCCGUGCUGCUGGACGACACGCCCAGCUUCACCGGCGAAAAGGGGGCGGGGCCGAACGCAGGGUCGCUGCGCGGUUUCGAGGUGAUUGACAGGAUCAAGCUGCUGCUGGAGCUGAUUUGCCCGGGGACCGUCUCCUGCGCCGACAUCCUCGUCGUCGCUGCCCACGACGCCGUCGUCCACCUAGGGGGGCCAUCAUGGACGGUUCUACUUGGGAGGAGGGACGCCACCACCGCAAGUGCGUCCUUGGCCAACAGUGACCUCCCCGGCCCCAACUCCAACCUCAAUGAUCUCCUCGCCGCUUUCUCCAAGAAGGGAUUAAGCAGCACCGACAUGGUUGCUCUCUCAGGGGGGCACACCAUCGGCCGGGCGCAAUGCCAGAAUUACCGAAACCGGAUCUACGCCGACACCGACAUCGACGGGACCUUCGCGGCGUCGCUGCGAGGCGACUGCCCACAGGGUGGUGGCAACGACGGCAACCUCGCGCCUCUCGACGCCUCCUCGCCCGACUACUUCGACAACAGCUACUUCUCCGGCCUCCUCAGCCAUCGGGGGCUGCUCCACUCCGACCAGGCGCUGUACGACGGCGGCUCCACGGACGGUCUGGUCAGGAGCUACGCGUCCAACAAUGAUCAGUUCGGCAGCGACUUCGCGGCCGCCAUGGUGAAGCUGGGCAAUCUCGGUGUGCUCACGGGGGCGUACGGUGAAAUCAGGGUCAACUGCCGGGCAGUAAACUGA